This 809-nucleotide ribosomal RNA is filed under the name Rhodococcus sp. (in: high G+C Gram-positive bacteria). Its description in RNAcentral is "bacterial SSU rRNA". It matches the Rfam family "Bacterial small subunit ribosomal RNA", at positions 93 to 917 of the family's 1533-position model. The record is from RNAcentral. Lineage: Bacteria; Bacillati; Actinomycetota; Actinomycetes; Mycobacteriales; Nocardiaceae.
GAGCGGCGACGGGUGAGUAACACGUGGGUGAUCUGCCCUGCACUCUGGGAUAAGCUUGGGAAACUGGGUCUAAUACCGGAUAUGACCGCAUGAUGCAUGUGUUGUGGUGGAAAGAUUUAUCGGUGCAGGAUGGGCCCGCGGCCUAUCAGCUUGUUGGUGGGGUAAUGGCCUACCAAGGCGACGACGGGUAGCCGACCUGAGAGGGUGACCGGCCACACUGGGACUGAGACACGGCCCAGACUCCUACGGGAGGCAGCAGUGGGGAAUAUUGCACAAUGGGCGGAAGCCUGAUGCAGCGACGCCGCGUGAGGGAUGAAGGCCUUCGGGUUGUAAACCUCUUUCAGCAGGGACGAAGCGUGAGUGACGGUACCUGCAGAAGAAGCACCGGCUAACUACGUGCCAGCAGCCGCGGUAAUACGUAGGGUGCGAGCGUUGUCCGGAAUUACUGGGCGUAAAGAGUUCGUAGGCGGUUUGUCGCGUCGUUUGUGAAAACCCGGGGCUCAACUUCGGGCUUGCAGGCGAUACGGGCAGACUUGAGUGUUUCAGGGGAGACUGGAAUUCCUGGUGUAGCGGUGAAAUGCGCAGAUAUCAGGAGGAACACCGGUGGCGAAGGCGGGUCUCUGGGAAACAACUGACGCUGAGGAACGAAAGCGUGGGUAGCAAACAGGAUUAGAUACCCUGGUAGUCCACGCCGUAAACGGUGGGCGCUAGGUGUGGGUUCCUUCCACGGGAUCUGUGCCGUAGCUAACGCAUUAAGCGCCCCGCCUGGGGAGUACGGCCGCACGCUAAAACUCAAAGGAAUUGACGGG